UACGUAGGGGGCAAGCGUUGUCCGGAUUUAUUGGGCGUAAAGAGCGUGUAGGCGGUUAGGUAGGUCCGGUGUGAAAACUCGAGGCUCAACCUCGAGACGCCGAUGGAAACCAUCUGACUAGAGUCCGGAAGAGGAGAGUGGAAUUCCUGGUGUAGCGGUGAAAUGCGCAGAUAUCAGGAAGAACACCCGUGGCUAAGGCGGCUCUCUAGUACGUGACUGACGCUGAGACGCGAAAGCGUGGGGAGCGAACAGG
RNAcentral lists this ribosomal RNA (253 nucleotides) under uncultured bacterium. RNAcentral's name for it is "partial 16S ribosomal RNA". It matches the Rfam family "Bacterial small subunit ribosomal RNA", at positions 524 to 776 of the family's 1533-position model. The record is from RNAcentral.